This is a non-coding RNA of Ictidomys tridecemlineatus (thirteen-lined ground squirrel), 401 nucleotides long. The record is from RefSeq and is a predicted model, not a curated record. NCBI's taxonomy places the organism in Eukaryota, Metazoa, Chordata, Mammalia, Rodentia, Sciuridae.
GAGGAGGAAGAGGAGAAGGAAGAGGAAGAGGAGGAGGAAAGAGUUCUGCUUCUAAAAACACUUGGGUUCUUGCAAUCAAAUGCUUUCAACUUCAAGUUUUUUGUUAUGUUGAAAAAUCACAUUUAUUUUAGGGGGAUCAGAUAAAUAAUGUUUAUUAUAAUCAUCAUAAUCUUUUUCGUUCAUACAGACACUGCACAUCAUCACUUGGCAAAACCUUCCUGAAGGUUUGGAUGGAGACACAUCUUCAAUAUGUCAGCAAGAAUGCAGGCUCCAUGAAGGCAUUCCUACGUCUGCUUUUUUUCUUUUCUCUGCUUUAUUCUUGAUGAUAUGCAUGCACUAGAAAUACAAUGAGAGAUGCAUUGAAUAAAAUGAAUGCCUAUAUAAUGCAAGUAAAUAAUUUA